AAGACCUCCCCCCGCUCCUCGUUCAUAGCUAGGAAGCACUGAAGUAUGCUCCCCUACUUCCCUCAAUAUGAGGUUUAAGCCUUUCACUGCUUAACUCCAAAAGGCUCUGAGCUAUGGGUGCUCAAAGGGGCCAGUUACUACUGCUGGGACAAUGGGACAUCACCACUCCUGGGUCCUCGCCCAGCACUGGGGCAAGAAAACGAACACCCCAGCAGUCAUUUUGAGGGCAGUAAUCACAGAGAUGGGACCGGAGCAACACAGGGAUCCCAGGCCUGUGGGAUGCCCAGGCUGAUGGGAAACCUGUAGUAAAUCCUACAGCCUGCUUGUCCGUGGCCUAAAGCAGGGAAGGCUCUGAACAGCUCCCGCUGCAUGUCGCUGCUGCUGGGCCAGCCCUGCACAGGCUCUUUACCCAGACUUCAAGCACUAAUAUUUACCAGUACUUAAAGAGGGGCUCCGGUACUUGACGGCCUAAAGGAAAGCUGGCGAGGGCUCUAUAUCAGGGAGUGUGCCGAUAGGAGAAGGUUAACAGCUUUCAACAAAAAGAGGGUGAAUUUAGAUUAGAUAUUGAGAAGAUAUUCUUCACUCAGAGGGCGAUGAGGUCCUGGCACUGCCCACAGCUGUGGUGCCCCAUCCCUGGAGGUACCCAAGGCCAUGGAUGGGCCCUGGGCAGCCCAAGCUGGGGGGCAGCCAGCACAUGGCAGGGGGGCCAUAGGGUCCACUCCAACCCAGUUCCCAAAUAUAAGCAUCUUUUACUCUGUACCCACUCAAAAUGAGGCCCUGAAUGCAGCUCCCUCAUCUGCUGUUCAGCACUUUGGAGAAACCACACUCCCAUCUACCAGGAGAUUAACCAAGAAAGGAAAAUACGUAGAAGGGAUGAAACAACUUGUCUGAGAGUACACAGGAAAUCUGUGGCAAAGACAGAACGUGUUUUAAAAUAGUGCAAUGACAUCAAUCUCUGGUUUCUCAAUAGAAACCUCCAAAUAGGCAGUUCUCCACCCCAAAGAUACAUACACGUGCUGAAUGGGGUUAAAAUUCAAGUCAGCAUUUAGAAAGUAACAAGAAGCUGUGUGUAAAAUAAGGGGGGGGGAGGGGGGAACACACACACACAAACCAACAUAUGGUUUGCAUUUACUGACUCAUUAUUGUGAGUGUCAGUGUGACCCACUUGAUAGAGGUUACAUGAGGAAGCUCAGGAAAAAAAGUCAUAUUUAAUAAUAAUAGUGCCUGCAAACAUGUGCUCCUGAAUGAUCUUGAAAGCCACAUCAAGGACGCAGAUGAGGAGAAACGAGGGACAAGUUUCUGACCUCUGGUCUCCUGCCCUCCCAUUCGGUAGUGCUCGACACGUUCAGGAAACUUAACUUUCAGUGGGACAUCUCAAGUUGACUGUAAAUCCACAUCUGGUCCACAAAAUCAGCUUUCACCACAGCACGAGCGUGAUGCCACUCAACUGAAAACACAGGAGUCUGUUCUCUUGCAAGCAGUGAAUAAGUAAAACUAAACAGUGUGAAGUUUAUUCCACUGCACGGAGACAAGAAAAAAACCAACACAACAGCCCUCAUGCAUCACUUAUUCCUUCUCAGGACAUCAAAACAAGCUAUGUGGGACCUGUAGGCCUUAUAAUGGUAACUUCCACUCCUAAACCUGUGUUUAAACAGAGGGGAGGUGCAUGGGGCAAAACUCUGAACUCAUGCACUGAAACUGCUGCUGUAAGUGAUCCUACCAGCACUGAGGCACUGAAUUUCUGCCAGAGGAAAAAAAAAGCCUCAGCAUUCAUUUUGUUCAAACAAUCAUGCUGCUCAAACAAAAUAAAACAGAACAGGGUGGACUUGGAAAUUAUCUUCUGAAAGCCAAUUAUAUCCCAGAGGCAAGAGUGAUGCCAUUAGACAGACACAUCAAGCACAAGUACCUGUACACAUUAAGCCCUAUAAUAAAGGGUGACUCAAAAGUUAAGCAGAUUUCAAAAUAGACGCCAGUGUUACUUAACAGCAACCACCAUCAUCCAGUCAGACCUGUCACUUUGCUUGCAGUCAAAAUGACAUGUCACCGUGUCAAGCUUGUUUAAUGCCAUGCUCAGCUCUCUCUGGCCAGCCAUACCGUGACAUAAAGGUCCAUACCAUGACAUAAAGGUCCAUACCAUGACAUAAAGGAGGUCUAUUUUUUCUAUUUUUUUCCCCCAGGUUCAUUAUGUUUUUGUUGCUUUUAAAUUCACAGCAGGCAGAUAUGGCCGCAGACUCACGUUACAGUGACGGAUGAGCCAUCCAUCAUCUUCAGAUCUCUGUAGUUUAUUGGGACUUGCAUCUACAACAAGCACUGCUUCCUCAUACCAAUCCAUGAGAACAUCUUGAAUCACUGCAUUGGUCUCCUCACUCCCUUUCUGGUUUCAGCCCUGCCCCAUGUCUGCCUUGAAAGAUCUCCGCUGUAUUGGUGCAGUAAGCAGUUAUGCUGCAGUAUGCAACAGGUGCUAUUCAGAAGUAAAAAGGGAUGACAGGAAUGGCACCACCUACUUCUAUUUCAGAUGCUCUGAAGGGUACUCAGAGUACCCACGUCUUCUCAGCGCCCUUCAGUGAAUGCAGAGAACUUCAGAUCUUAAUUUGGGGGAUAAUCAGAUAAUUAAGGAUGACAACAUCAAGACUUGCCUGGUGCAGAUGGCAAGACCAACGGGUGUAAUCUGCCAUAUCACAGCUGAAUUCUCACUCUUCCAGGCUGUAUCAAUAAGGCCAGAGCAGCAUAUUCCCAGCACAUCAGUGGGGUGGUUUUGCCCAAAGCACUGUGAAGUCACUGCAGUAAGAAAACCUGAAGCUACAGCAAGAGUAAUAACCAGGCACACAGCACAGCAACUUUUCUGCUUGCUCUCUGGACAGUGCUCUCCUGGAAGCUCUGUACUAAGCUAUUUAUUAGGAUGCUGCUGUGGCCUACUGAGUGCACUUAAAGUGCAGGUGUCACACUGUGCAUUGCAUCACAUUCCCCUGGAAGCAUGAGGGAUAUGCAUAGGAAUCCCAGCACAGCUCCUCACAGUACUCAGGGUUAUGGGUUGGUCGCUUCACAAACUAGUGGGGAAAAAAAUCGUAUCCAAUAGAUUCUAUUUUCAUCAUCUUUAAUAUAGAUGUAUAUAAAGGUGAGAAAACACCUUCAGGUUUACUGUAGAAGAUCACUGGGCUCUCAAUCUGCCUACACAAACCAACCUAGAACUUCUCAGCAAGACGACUCAAUUUUGGUAUCCAACUUCAUAGGCUUUUCAAAGUUAUGGCCAAAAUAUAACACAAACCACCCCACAACUUCAAAACAUUAUAUUCCACAAUAAAAAGUCCUUCCUGACCCAUGUAGCUAUUAAGUAUCCACACUGAAAUACUUAAUUAGAGGGUACUUAUUGGGACAUCAAAGUACCUUCUUUCCUUCCUAACUGCUGGUCCUUUAGGACAAAUCAGGUGCCAGUUAACACCUCAGGACCAGCAGCAUUUCUGGUGACACCUGCUUGCUACCAGUGAGGCCGGAGCUCCAUCCCCUCCUGAGUCCCAUCCCCACGGGCUGUGUGGGGACCGCUGCCCACCCAUGAGAUGCAUGCAGCUGCAAUGCUUAUGGAUGAAAACAGAAAUUCAGAUCUCAGCAGAGCACCGAGCCAACAUUUCUGACUCCCCAAGCAAUUCUCUUCAAGCUGACGGAAAGCCGGAUCUAGCAGCCUGUUAGCAGAGAAGCUUUUUAAAACCGUGAACAGCCCCAACCGCACACGCUGAACUUAUUACGAGCAAUUAAAGGAGAGAUAAUUCGGGAGAUAAAC
This is a long non-coding RNA of Gallus gallus (chicken), 3775 nucleotides long. RefSeq lists it as uncharacterized. NCBI's taxonomy places the organism in Eukaryota, Metazoa, Chordata, Aves, Galliformes, Phasianidae. The transcript has 2 exons. The record is from RefSeq and is a predicted model, not a curated record.